ACGAAGGUGGCAAGCGUUGUUCGGAUUUACUGGGCGUAAAGGGAGCGUAGGUGGUCGGGUAAGCCCCGCGGGAAAGCUCCAGGCUUAACCUGGAAAGGUCGCGGGGGACUGCGCGGCUAGAGGACGGGAGAGGAGCGCGGAAUUCCCGGUGUAGCGGUGAAAUGCGUAGAUAUCGAGAGGAACACCUGCGGCGAAGGCGGGUUGCUGGGCUGACACUGACGCUGAUGCGCGAAAGCUAGGGGAGCGAACGGGA
RNAcentral lists this ribosomal RNA (253 nucleotides) under uncultured prokaryote. RNAcentral's name for it is "partial 16S ribosomal RNA". It matches the Rfam family "Bacterial small subunit ribosomal RNA", at positions 525 to 777 of the family's 1533-position model. The record is from RNAcentral.